This is a small nuclear RNA of Castor canadensis (American beaver), 103 nucleotides long. NCBI's taxonomy places the organism in Eukaryota, Metazoa, Chordata, Mammalia, Rodentia, Castoridae. The record is from Ensembl.
GGGCUGGCUUCAUCAGCACAGAUGCUAAAAUUAGAAUGGUAUAGAGAUUGCAUAACCCAUGCACAAGGAUGGCAUGCAAGUUCAUGAAGUGUUCCAUGUUUUU